This 229-nucleotide ribosomal RNA is filed under the name uncultured bacterium. RNAcentral's name for it is "partial 16S ribosomal RNA". It matches the Rfam family "Bacterial small subunit ribosomal RNA", at positions 258 to 504 of the family's 1533-position model. The record is from RNAcentral.
UAACGGCCCACCAAAGCGACGAUCAGUAGCCGGCCUGAGAGGGUGGACGGCCACAUUGGGACUGAGACACGGCCCAAACUCCUACGGGAGGCAGCAGUGGGGAAUAUUGGGCAAUGGGCGCAAGCCUGACCCAGCAACGCCGCGUGAAGGAAGAAGGCCCUCGGGUUGUAAAGAUCUUUAAUCAGGGACGAAAAUGACGGUACCUGAAGAAUAAGCUCCGGCUAACUAC